UGGGGAAUAUUGCGCAAUGGGCGGAAGCCUGACGCAGCGACGCCGCGUGGGGGAUGAAGGCCUUCGGGUUGUAAACUCCUUUCGGCUCUGACGAAGCCUUCGGGUGACGGUAGGGGCAGAAGAAGCGCCGGCCAACUACGUGCCAGCAGCCGCGGUAAUACGUAGGGCGCAAGCGUUGUCCGGAUUUAUUGGGCGUAAAGAGCUCGUAGGCGGUCAGUCGCGUCUACCGUGUAAUCCGGGGGCUCAACUUCCGGUUUGCGGUGGAUACGGGCUGACUGGAGUGCGGCAGGGGAGACUGGAAUUCCUGGUGUAGCGGUGAAAUGCGCAGAUAUCAGGAGGAACACCGGUGGCGAAGGCGGGUCUCUGGGCCGUAACUGACGCUGAGGAGCGAAAGCGUGGGGAGCGAACAG
RNAcentral lists this ribosomal RNA (410 nucleotides) under uncultured bacterium. RNAcentral's name for it is "bacterial SSU rRNA". It matches the Rfam family "Bacterial small subunit ribosomal RNA", at positions 355 to 775 of the family's 1533-position model. The record is from RNAcentral.